Molecule: ribosomal RNA, 465 nt
Filed under: Vreelandella stevensii
Lineage: Bacteria; Pseudomonadati; Pseudomonadota; Gammaproteobacteria; Oceanospirillales; Halomonadaceae
Description: partial 16S ribosomal RNA
Rfam family: Bacterial small subunit ribosomal RNA
Source: RNAcentral
CCUACGGGGGGCUGCAGUGGGGAAUAUUGGACAAUGGGGGCAACCCUGAUCCAGCCAUGCCGCGUGUGUGAAGAAGGCCCUCGGGUUGUAAAGCACUUUCAGUGAGGAAGAACGCCUGGUGGUUAAUACCCAUCAGGAAAGACAUCACUCACAGAAGAAGCACCGGCUAACUCCGUGCCAGCAGCCGCGGUAAUACGGAGGGUGCGAGCGUUAAUCGGAAUUACUGGGCGUAAAGCGCGCGUAGGUGGCUUGAUAAGCCGGUUGUGAAAGCCCCGGGCUCAACCUGGGAACGGCAUCCGGAACUGUCAAGCUAGAGUGCAGGAGAGGAAGGUAGAAUUCCCGGUGUAGAGGUGAAAUGCGUAGAGAUCGGGAGGAAUACCAGUGGCGAAGGCGGCCUUCUGGACUGACACUGACACUGAGGUGCGAAAGCGUGGGUAGCAAACAGGAUUAGAUACCCGGGUAGUC